This 1550-nucleotide long non-coding RNA is filed under the name Triticum aestivum (bread wheat). RNAcentral describes it as "long non-coding RNA (TAES_LNC013426)". Lineage: Eukaryota; Viridiplantae; Streptophyta; Magnoliopsida; Poales; Poaceae. The record is from RNAcentral.
AGUAACCUCAGAAAGUCGUUCCUCGCGAACGACAUCGCAACGCCGGCUGUAGCGGCAGCCAUCCGGCCGUUCCCUUUUGCCGUGUGGUAGGUCGUCCCUGCUGAAUCAGCAAUCUCCUCCGAUGCCUGCGUUGUUUAGCGGAGUUUCCGCAUCCAGCAACAGCGGCGGCGACUUUUAUCCAUCCCCAUUUUCCCUUGACCCUGUGUUUGUACGAACAGGUGCAUAUCUUUUCUUUGCCUUACCAUGUCCUCUCUCUAUGAAAUAAAUUUUAGGCAUGCAUAGCACGGUGAUCAAAUUACUGUUUCUAAUAUUUUAUCUAGCAAUUAGACUCUUGGAAUUUUCUAUUAUUUGUUAAAUCAGAUCUGAAUUGCUAGGGAAGAAAGAAAGGUUAUAGUAAUUGAUAAAAGCACAUACGUGAUGCAUACAUAACUGAUAUUGAUUUUUGUCAAAUCAGUUGUGAGUCCUCCAUCAGGUAUCUGUGUGAAUACAUUGUCUUAUGAAUGUAUUUCCACUAUUUUGAAGAUAAAGUACAGUGGCCGUCCACUUACAGUCAGAGAGAGCUUAAAUAUAGUUCAAUCUUCAGAGAAACAUCAUCAAAAAAGUGAAGGGCGCAAGCUCACAAACACUAUAUUUGGGUUUGUUAAAUGUAUGCAUCAAAACAUUGAGUUUGCUAGAAAUUCUAAAAUCAGACUAAAUUAAAUAAUGACUAUAGAGUAUAUACGAAUAUAAUAAGAAACCCAAAAGUAAAUAAAUUUCGUUCUGAUAAAAUAUUUCUGAUAUAACAAUUUGAAACCAAAUAAGGCUGCUAUGUCUGCAUCACAUUAUAUUUAGUCAUAUCAGAAUGCUUGUAACAAUAUCUAUAAUAUAUCCUUGUAAACAAUGUUUUUUGCAACCUUGUCGGAUGGACGCUCUUCAUCUGAUAUGAGUAUCUUCAAUCCAUUUCUGCUGGUCACCCUUGACAUUGCAACAUAGAGUUGUCCAUGUGUGAACACUUGCCUUUCUAAGUAGAGUCCAACUUUUUUGAGAGAUUGCCCCUGGCUUUUGUUUAUAGUCAUAGCAAAGCACACUGAUAUUGGGUAUUGUCUCCUUUUCAGAAUGAAAGGCCAUUUUGAAUCACUUGGUGACAUGAUAAUUCGUGGGAUGUAAACUUUGUCACCAACGUUAGGACAUGUUAUGACCUGGCCUUCAAUGAAACGCUUUCCUAGCUGUGUUAUUGUUAGUCUUGUCCCAUUGCAAAGUCCUGCACUUUGAUUGAUGUUCCUCAUAAGCAUUAUUGGUAACCCUACUUUCAGCCUCAGUUCAUGGUCUGGUAUUCCAGAAAAUGUAAGACUAUUCAAAAACUCAGUUGGGUACAACAUAUCUUCAUCUUCCACCGUAGACAUUGCCUUGCAUGUUGUAUCUGAACUGAAAUAGGUUACCUCUUCUCCAGGAAUUUGACUCAUGAUGUAGGCAUUAAUCUGGUCAACAGUCUCGUUUCUUGGGCACAAGAUCGCUCUUUCCUCUAGGUAUGUUCUAUCAGUGUAUUUUCUGUGUAAGUCGGGGUAGGUGGU